RNAcentral lists this long non-coding RNA (320 nucleotides) under Cyanistes caeruleus (blue tit). RNAcentral's name for it is "lncRNA (ENSCCEG00000004560.1)". Lineage: Eukaryota; Metazoa; Chordata; Aves; Passeriformes; Paridae. The record is from RNAcentral.
UUCCCAGGUGCAGUUUUAUCAGAGGUGGUGCUUGAUCCUCCUUAGCAAAAGCACACCUCCUGUGGUCCUGGAUUAUAGCAGACUCACUGCUACCUUUAAAGCAGGUUUCUAUGACCACUUAUCCCAAAUUAUGGCUUGUUAUGGGCAGUCUGGCAGAGCCUGGGGAAGAGGGCAGACCAGUCUGUGCAGGACCAUGCUCUGACCUGUGGGAUGGGCUCUCCCUGGAGAUGGGGCCUCCAGAUCCAGCCUUUCACUGCACCACUCUUCUCUGUGCACGCCUUCAGGGACACAGGGCACAACAAAGGAAAUUAAGGCCUUAA